UCGACUAGUGUUGAGCCUCUGGGGUUCGC
RNAcentral lists this small RNA (29 nucleotides) under Bombyx mori (domestic silkworm). RNAcentral describes it as "ovarian small RNA-7495". The record is from RNAcentral. Lineage: Eukaryota; Metazoa; Arthropoda; Insecta; Lepidoptera; Bombycidae.